GAUGAACGCUGGCGGCGUGCCUAAUACAUGCAAGUCGAGCGAACAGACGAGGAGCUUGCUCCUCUGACGUUAGCGGCGGACGGGUGAGUAACACGUGGAUAACCUACCUAUAAGACUGGGAUAACUUCGGGAAACCGGAGCUAAUACCGGAUAAUAUAUUGAACCGCAUGGUUCAAUAGUGAAAGACGGUUUUGCUGUCACUUAUAGAUGGAUCCGCGCCGCAUUAGCUAGUUGGUAAGGUAACGGCUUACCAAGGCAACGAUGCGUAGCCGACCUGAGAGGGUGAUCGGCCACACUGGAACUGAGACACGGUCCAGACUCCUACGGGAGGCAGCAGUCGGGACUCUUCCGCAAUGGGCGAAAGCCUGACGGAGCACCGCCGCGUGAGUGAUGAAGGUCUCCGGAUCGUAAAACUCUGUUAUUAGGGAAGAACAAAUGUGUAAGUAACUAUGCACGUAUUGACGGUACCUAAUCAGAAAGCCACGGCUAACUACGUG
RNAcentral lists this ribosomal RNA (497 nucleotides) under uncultured bacterium. RNAcentral describes it as "partial 16S ribosomal RNA". It matches the Rfam family "Bacterial small subunit ribosomal RNA", at positions 28 to 507 of the family's 1533-position model. The record is from RNAcentral.